CUCUUGCACAACUAAAUAUAAGAGGUCUUGCCUGCCCUGUGACUAUAUGUUUUAACGGCCGCGGUAUUUUGACCGUGCGAAGGUAGCGCAAUCACUUGUCUUUUAAAUGAAGACCUGUAUGAAUGGCACGACGAGGGCUUAACUGUCUCCUUCCCUUAGUCAACGAAAUUGAUCUGCCCGUGCAGAAGCGGGCAUAACCUCAUAAGACGAGAAGACCCUAUGGAGCUUUCAGACGUAUAAGAAGCCCAAGUUAAACAGCCUUAACUAAAAGAACAAACCAAAUGGUGCCUACUUAAAUGUCUUUGGUUGGGGCGACCACGGGGAACCAUUUAACCCCCAUGAGGAAUGAGAACACACCCUUAUAGCCAAGAACAACAGUUCUAAGAAUCAGAACAUCUGCCCGCAAGAUCCGGCAAUGCCGAUUAACGAACCAAGUUACCCUAGGGAUAACAGCGCAAUCCCCUUUUAGAGUCCCUAUCAACAAGGGGGUUUACGACCUCGAUGUUGGAUCAGGACAUCCUAAUGGUGCAGUCGCUAUUAAGGGUUCGUUUGUUCAACGAUUAAAGUCCU
This 570-nucleotide ribosomal RNA is filed under the name Choeroichthys sculptus. Its description in RNAcentral is "partial 16S ribosomal RNA". It matches the Rfam family "Bacterial large subunit ribosomal RNA", at positions 1820 to 2597 of the family's 2925-position model. Lineage: Eukaryota; Metazoa; Chordata; Actinopteri; Syngnathiformes; Syngnathidae. The record is from RNAcentral.